GUGUGUAGUAGGAGUUGUGUCAUGUGCUUCAUUUAGUUUUUGAAGGCUUGAUGCUUUUAUUGGUCAGCAUGGGUGGUGGGUGAUUCAUCAUCGCCCUAAACACUGGUCACACUCUCCUGUAAUUAUUUACCACUAAACCCACACAUAUCAUCCAAUUUCAGUUUCCCUGGAAGCAGAGCAACGACCCCGGCGAGCCCUCACUUUCACGGUGGCACAAUACGGUUUGUAAUCUCCACGAAUCAGAACCAGAAGGAGGUACGCCGACGACGAUGCAAACGGUGGCCCUCAUUCUUAGCGGCGAUGAGUGAUUAUUGUUACCUAAGGGAAGGUGUUCUUACCCGAAGCAUCUUGGAGAUCCUUGGUUAUUUGUUAUCCAAAAACCCUAAACUCUUAAACGAAUCUUAAUUUGACCAACGCCGCCGCCAGUACCUCUGUCCACAACAGUCACCACCGUCACAUACCGUCUCGACACAAUGCCAACAUUGCAAUGGCGCACUAAAGGUCAGUAACUACUACUCCUUUGAGGUUGUUCUAUAUUUGCAGGCCACACUUUGAUCAAAACUGGUAGCUUAGACAAGAGCUUUGAAGGUAAACCGCCAUUACAAUGGCUAAUAAGCAGUAAUUCAAUACCCACUUUAGAUGAAUUUAAGGUUCAAUUCCAUUGGAGUUUCCAGAAGUUCCACGAGUUAUAAUCCUCCUGCUAAUGAAACAUUAAAAACGAUAGGCGUGAACAUAAAGAAAAGCUACCGUAAAAAGUUUUUAAGGUGAAGAUUUUUAAACCUCUUCAUCAAGAACCAACAUCUCCAAGAGUCCAUAUCACCAACAAAAAGGUAUGCAACUUUUAGCUUUUAACAAAGUAUGAUGUUUAGCUUCAUGCUAAUGGGAAAUAAAGGCAAACAAUGUUUGUAUUUGAAACUUUUCUUUAAUAUCAUGGUAAGAAAGAUCUUUAAAACAUGCAAAAA
Molecule: long non-coding RNA, 962 nt
Filed under: Helianthus annuus (common sunflower)
Lineage: Eukaryota; Viridiplantae; Streptophyta; Magnoliopsida; Asterales; Asteraceae
Description: sRNA HanXRQr2_Chr03g0090071
Source: RNAcentral